GAUGCACUAUUUGUUGAUCUUAAAUAAUGCUUGAUUACCUGUGAUGUGAUAUUGCUGUGCCUUGUUUGUGUGGAAUUAGGAUGAAGUGGACCACCAUGGAUUUGUGAGGACGGUCUAUGUGAUAUGGAUCCUGAAUAUGAUAUGAUAUGGAGUUUGACCGUCAGCCGGGUACAUGGGAGAUCGGCGCCCCCGUGUGCACCUGAUGAUAUGGAUUAUAUGGAAAACCACAGGAUGGCUUCUUGUUGUUGCGCACCUGAUGAUCUAGAUUUGAUUGUAGCCCGCAGGGUGGCCUCCUGUUGUGAGCACUUGAUGAUCUAGAUUGGAUGGAGACCACCGGGUUGCCUCCUGUUGGCAUUUUUUUUUUUAAAAAAAAGAGAGAGAAUGGAAAAACAAUGAGAGGACUGGUCAGUGAGGAUUAGACCAGUUGGCCGUAUGGGGGAUCGGCUCCCUGGUGCACAUGUAUGAGAGGGCGAGCCAUGUGUGAGGACGGCUCGUUGGGGUUUUAGGUGGUGCCACUGACUAAUUUCCACGUGAUGUGAUUAUAUGAAUGUGAUAAUAAUUGUGGUUGCUGUUGUAUUGCCAUUUGUGUGACACUGCAUGAUCAUAAAUUUAAUCGAUGAACAAAUAAAAAUAUUUUAGCAUCUGUAUGAUUGUGUGGGGUGAGAGGGUUAUCUAACCCUACUCAUUGAGUUUGGCGCUCACCCCUGCCUACCUAUUUUUUUCCAGGUAAUAGAAGAAAGAAAAAUCCUAUGGAGUUGAGACAUAAGUAUAGAAGACUGUAAACAAUAAAUAAAUGAUGAUGUAAAUAUACAGGUAGAGUUCCGCAAUUGUAUUCUAGUGGGUUGUAGAUGAACUGUACUAGUGGUACAUAAUUGAAAUAAAUUAUUAGGCCUGUAUCCACAAUUAUGAAUAGUAAAUGAGAUUUGCAUAAUAUAGGCUUACUACGGGCUUCGGGGGCCUUAAGCCCACCCAGGUCCUAGUGCCGGUUCGGUCCAUGGAAAUGGGUCGUGACAAUUACAUAUUUUGAUAAAAUUUCAGUUUAGCUUCAUCUGACGAAAAUAAUUGAUGUGGAGAUCAAAAUUAUAUUUUAUAUUAUCGUUAUACAAUGUAAGUCUUGAUUUAUUAGAUUAAUAUCAUAGCAUUGCCAAAUUAUAAAAAUAUUUUGUAGUAUGGUAAAAGCAAA
Molecule: long non-coding RNA, 1183 nt
Filed under: Jatropha curcas
Lineage: Eukaryota; Viridiplantae; Streptophyta; Magnoliopsida; Malpighiales; Euphorbiaceae
Description: long non-coding RNA (JCUR_LNC000613)
Source: RNAcentral